GGAUGGAGUAAAGAGCUAAGCACUGU
This 26-nucleotide non-coding RNA is filed under the name Cricetulus griseus (Chinese hamster). The record is from RNAcentral. Lineage: Eukaryota; Metazoa; Chordata; Mammalia; Rodentia; Cricetidae.